Molecule: ribosomal RNA, 631 nt
Filed under: uncultured bacterium
Lineage: Bacteria
Description: bacterial SSU rRNA
Rfam family: Bacterial small subunit ribosomal RNA
Source: RNAcentral
UGCAGUCGAACGGAUCUUCGGGUCUAGUGGCGCAGGGUGCGUAACGCGUGGGAAUCUGCCCUUUGGUUCGGAAUAACUCUUGGAAACUUGAGCUAAUACCGGAUGAGGACUUCGGGGGAAGAUUUAUCGCCAGAGGAUGAGCCCCGCGUCUGAUAGCUAGUUGGUGUGGUAAAGGCGCACCAAGGCGACGAUCCUUAGCUGGUCUGAGAGGAUGAUCAGCCACACUGGGACUGAGACACGGCCCAGACUCCUACGGGAGGCAGCAGUGGGGAAUAUUGGACAAUGGGCGAAAGCCUGAUCCAGCAAUGCCGCGUGAGUGAUGAAGGCCUUAGGGUUGUAAAGCUCUUUUACCCGGGAUGAUAAUGACAGUACCCCGGAGAAUAAGCUCCGGCUAACUCCGUGCCAGCAGCCGCGGUAAUACGGAGGGAGCUAGCGUUGCUCGGAAUUACUGGGCGUAAAGGGCAGCGUAGGCGGCUUGGUAAGUUAGAGGUGAAAGCCUGGAGCUCAACUCCGGAACUGCCUUUGAUACUGCAUCGCUUGAAUCCAGGAGAGGUGAGUGGAAUUCCGAGUGUAGAGGUGAAAUUCGUAGAUAUUCGGAAGAACACCAGUGGCGAAGGCGGCUCACUGGACU